UUCAAAAGUUAUGGGCCCUUCACCACUGGAGACUUUUAAGAAGAGACUGGAUGGUCACUUUGGAAUGGUACAGGGUCUCGUGCUUUGCAGGGGGACUAGAAGACCAUGAAACUCUCCCAACUCUAUUCUGAUUGAUUGCUGUGUGCCCCUCUGGAAGGAGCGUCACGUGGCGGAAAACUGGGCACUGUAGUCAAUCCACAGAAUGCAGCGGAGGAGGCUGCCCGACUUCCUUCCAUUGAAUCCAUCGGAGUUUAUUUCCGAGCUGACUUUAUGCAAGCGUCCAUUCUUAAGCGAAGCGGAGAGCAAACGCUGGGUUUGCAAGAAAUGGGGAUAUUCCAUGAUACGUCAGGCUUGUCCAAAGUGGCGUUUCUUGCUUCUCGGUGCCUCGGGCGCCAGAAAAUGACGCCGUAGCCACAGCUUUCACUCAAACACACACAAACAGCCCUCCUUUUCCCUUUCCCAAACAGCCCUGCGCUGCCCCCUAACCUGUGAGUCUCAGGAAGCCGCCGACGCUCUCCGGCAGCGGUAGGCGCUUGAGGAUGUCUUUCGGAGCAUUGCCAUGCAGAUAUGUUUUGUUACAUAAGUCCUUCUUAUUUUAGGUUCAUUCCCAGGAAUGAAGAAUCCAUAUAUAGGGAUGGCCAAAUUUCCUCAUCUGUAGUGAUGGGCUAUUGGAUAUUGCAUAUGAGCAUUGUAUUUAAAGGGCAGAAGAUAGAACGAUAACUAAAAUGAAUGGAGCAUGCCUAUUUUCAUCUGUCUAUCCAUCCACAGGCUACCAUGGGAAAAAGACUGCUGCUGCUGGAAGUCUAGAUUUAAACUAAAGCUUGCAUUUUUGCCGGACCCAUUCUAGACAACAACAAACCAAAAUAUGGGUCUGCCUCCAUAUUUGGAACUCUCAUAUAUAGUCAUAACAAAAAUUUACUUCAAAUGUUACACUAAAUAUAUCUGAAACGGGAAGUAAUAUUAAAGAUUGCCAAUUAAAAAGAACCUGGAAGGUUGUUAUGACUUAACAAUCUAACCUGCUACUGCAGUCAAGAAAUCCACAAUAGCAUUUAAGAUAAUAUCUAUUUUUUUUUUGUUAAAAUAACUCCAGUAAGAGCCUUAACCUUAUUUGUUUGCAUUGGUUAUCAAAUUACCAUAUUGUUAAAAAAAUGUCUCUUAAA
This is a long non-coding RNA of Crotalus tigris (Tiger rattlesnake), 1160 nucleotides long. RefSeq lists it as uncharacterized. The record is from RefSeq and is a predicted model, not a curated record. The transcript is spliced from 3 exons. NCBI's taxonomy places the organism in Eukaryota, Metazoa, Chordata, Lepidosauria, Squamata, Viperidae.